AGAUUGAACGCUGGCGGCAUGCCUUACACAUGCAAGUCGAACGGCAGCACGGGAGCAAUCCUGGUGGCGAGUGGCGAACGGGUGAGUAAUACAUCGGAACGUGCCCAAUCGUGGGGGAUAACGCAGCGAAAGCUGUGCUAAUACCGCAUAAGAUCUACGGAUGAAAGCAGGGGAUCGCAAGACCUUGCGCGAAUGGAGCGGCCGAUGGCAGAUUAGGUAGUUGGUGAGGUAAAGGCUCACCAAGCCUUCGAUCUGUAGCUGGUCUGAGAGGACGACCAGCCACACUGGGACUGAGACACGGCCCAGACCUCCUACGGGAGGCAGCAGUGGGGAAUUUUGGACAAGUGGGCGAAAGCCUGAUCCAGCCAUGCCGCGUGCAGGAUGAAGGCCGUUCGGUGUAACGUGUCGUUUU
Molecule: ribosomal RNA, 412 nt
Filed under: uncultured soil bacterium
Lineage: Bacteria
Description: bacterial SSU rRNA
Rfam family: Bacterial small subunit ribosomal RNA
Source: RNAcentral